RNAcentral lists this unclassified non-coding RNA (329 nucleotides) under soil metagenome. Its description in RNAcentral is "partial contains 5.8S ribosomal RNA, internal transcribed spacer 2, and large subunit ribosomal RNA". The stretch from base 1 to 120 matches the Rfam family "5.8S ribosomal RNA", at positions 35 to 154 of the family's 154-position model. The record is from RNAcentral.
GAUGAAGAACGCAGCGAAAUGCGAUAAGUAAUGUAAAUUGCAGAAUUCAGUGAAUCAUCGAAUCUUUGAACGCACAUUGCGCCCCCUGGUAUUCCGGGAGGCAUGCCUGUCCGAGCGUCAUUACAACCCUCAAGCUCAGCUUGGUGUUGGGCCCCGCCGCCCCGGCGGGCCCUAAAGUCAGUGGCGGUGCCGUCCGGCUCCGAGCGUAGUAAUUCUUCUCGCUCUGGAGGUCCGGUCGUGUGCUCGCCAGCAACCCCCAAUUUUUUUCAGGUUGACCUCGGAUCAGGUAGGGAUACCCGCUGAACUUAAGCAUAUCAAUAAGCGGAGGA